CAUGUCUUUUUGAUAAUAAUUUAAGGUUUAAUCUGCUCAAUGAAUAUUUAAAUUGCCGCAGUAUAUUAACUGUGCGAAGGUAGCAUAAUAAUUAGUUAUUUAAUUGAUAGCUAGAAUGAAUGAUUGGACGAGAAGUAUUCUGUCUUUUAUUUAUUUGAUGUUGAAUUUAACUUUUAAGUUAAAAGGCUUAAAUUUUUAUUAAAGACGAGAAGACCCUAUAGAGUUUAAUUAUUAAUUGAUUUACUUAAAUGUAUAUGGUAUUUAAUUUUUAAAUUGAUUAAUUAAUUUGUUUGGGGUGAUUUAAGGAUUGAUAAAACUCUUUGAUUUUUUUUAUCAUUGAUUUAUGAAUAUUUUAUUUUUAAUAAUAAAUAUAAACUAAAUUACCUUAGGGAUAACAGCGUAAUUUUUUUUAUUGAGUUCUUAUUAAUAAUAAAGUUUGCGACCUCGAUGUUGGAUUAAAAUUUAUUAUGGGUGUAUAAGCUUUAUAAUUAAGUCUGUUCGACUUUUAAAAUUUUACAUGAUCUGAGU
This 528-nucleotide ribosomal RNA is filed under the name Mimochotyra sp. UPOL 000M30. RNAcentral describes it as "partial 16S ribosomal RNA". The stretch from base 391 to 528 matches the Rfam family "Archaeal large subunit ribosomal RNA", at positions 2542 to 2679 of the family's 2987-position model. The record is from RNAcentral. Lineage: Eukaryota; Metazoa; Arthropoda; Insecta; Coleoptera; Rhagophthalmidae.